CCUCAGAGCAUCCCACAUUCCUCCCCAAGCUCCCAUCCUGAGGCAACAUCUUGCACUGAACACCUGGCUUGAAGGCAGGCAGAUGCUCAGUGAAACUUUCCAGCCAGCAAAGUCUGGAGUGUAACUAGGAAGAUGUCAAGAAAGCAGCACGUCCAUAUGGAGUGUCCAUCAGCAUUUCUCCACGCACAUCACAGACACGAUAAGAUGCAACCAACGUGCUUUUCAGUAAUGAAGAGUGAAUCUUUUAAAGGAGAGUUAGACGUCUGGAACAAGGGAAGCUGCAGAACUCAUACUAAUACUGUGCUUAAGAACCUGUCAAAUAUAAUCUCUGCAGUGAGAAGAUUUAUUGGAAACUCUCUAGAAAUCUAAGUGCAAUGCUUGCUGUUCUCUCAAAAAAGGACCAAGUUGAGAGUGUGGAAAGUCACUCAUCCUUAAGGCUCCACUGAGCACACAAGGACAAUAGAGAGACAUGAGACUUGCUCCCUUCUGUUUUUCCAUAGGGGAGGGUGGCCUUUGCUUUUACUCACAGAUUAUUUACACCAAGUGCAGCUUUUGCUGGUACCCAAAGCUGGCUUCCAGUGGAGUCCAAGCAGCAGGAUUGGCAAGGACUUAAAAAUGUGAGCUUCAGCUUUGUCUUUCUGCCCUGGUAGUCACUAUCAUACACAAUGGGCUGGCAAAUGCAGAUCUGCAGUCUCCCAGCAGUAGAUAUUGCUGUCCCUUUGGCUUCUGAAGCUGCCAAGUCCUUAAUGACUCCAGCCUGGUGGGCACACACAGCAAGUUGUAUAAUACUGUCCUUCUGAUUUUUAGGUAGACAAUACAUUCUAAAUGCUUUCCCAACAUAUAAACAAAACCAUCUCUCCUUGUGUGAUUCUGUAUAUGACCAAAGGCAUGUUACCUGCUAGCUCGGCUCCCAUGAAAGUUGGCAUUGAUACUUGGAACAAAUAUCCACCAUGUAUGAGAGCAACAUUGCCUUUGUGCAUGUGAAGGCAAACCCGUCCAAUACAGCACACGUACUUAUGUUUUACUGAAAUAUUUCCAGAAAGCAUAAGGCAAUCAGUGUAGCUGCUGGAUUUUUAAAUAUAAGGCCUGGAUGUAAGCUUUCUGCUGGAUUUUUGAUGAGAGAAUUGUAGAAUGAGUUUCAGUCUCAGUGAGAAGCAGAAAUCACUUCUUACGUUUCAGUGUGUAACAUGCCAUGGUAAUUUGAAGGCAUUCAAAUGAAACUCAUGACUUUUCUUCUUCCAUUGAAAUAGCUUUGGAAAUUGCAGUCUGUUUGUAGAAUAGGGAGAUUCCCAGCUCCCCAGCUGAGCUUCCCUGCAAGAAACGGAACACCAACACUCAUCCCUCAGGGCUUGGAGAAUUGCUAAGUAGGAGCUAACAGAGGAAUAGGAAUGUGUCUUCCUGCCUUUCCAUCACCUGCUCUUGUAAAAAAUACUCCAUUUUCCGUUCUAAUCCUUCUGAAAAACUGAAUAAAACAAACAAAAAAAGAACAUUAGCAUUAAAAAUAAGUGCUAUAAUUAACAUUAAUGCCUUCAUCAGCUUAAAAGAAUCCUAAACAGCUAGGAUUUCUCUCUGUCUUAACCUCUAGGUAGCCUAGUGAUUUUCAGACUGUAUUCUACACAGUACUCCACUGAUGUCCAUGAGAGGUUAUAAAAGAAAGUCAAGCCUCUCCUCAGUAGGCUUCAAAACACUGAAUGGAGGUCUGAAGGUGAAAAUCACAGUUCUGUCCAUUCUUUCUUCUUCUGUUUUCAUACCAGUCAGCUCCUUCCACUCCCAUCAAAUUCCCUCCAAUGCUUCCUGGGCACUCCCUUCAUCACAAGCAGCUAAGCUCAGGCCCUGGAACAGGCUGCCCAGGGCAAUGGGCACAGCCCUGAGUGCUGGAGUUCAGGGAGUGUUUGGACAUCGUGUUCAGACAUAGGGUUUGGAUUUGAGGUGGCGCUGUGUGGAGCUGGAAAGUGGACUCAGUGAUCCUUGUGUGUCCCUUCCAACUUUUGGGAUAUUCAUAAGACUAGAAGAGAACUAGAAGUAGAUCUUGCUGUUUAACCUGAUUCUGGCUGUUAUUUACCUUCUCACCUCCUAAAAAUGUCAGUAUUUGUAAAAAACUUAAAAGUUUUUAAAGGAGAUGUUCAAAGUCUUUCUA
This is a long non-coding RNA of Gallus gallus (chicken), 2137 nucleotides long. The record is from Ensembl. NCBI's taxonomy places the organism in Eukaryota, Metazoa, Chordata, Aves, Galliformes, Phasianidae.